AUACGUAGGGGGCGAGCGUUGUCCGGAAUGAUUGGGCGUAAAGGGCGCGUAGGCGGCCCGGUAAGUCUGGAGUGAAAGUCCUGCUUUUAAGGUGGGAAUUGCUUUGGAUACUGUCGGGCUUGAGUGCAGGAGAGGUAAGUGGAAUUCCCAGUGUAGCGGUGAAAUGCGUAGAGAUUGGGAGGAACACCAGUGGCGAAGGCGACUUACUGGACUGUAACUGACUCUGAGUCGCGAAAGCGUGGGGAGCAAACAGGAUUAGAUCCCCUGGUGGUCCACGCCGUAAACGAUGAAUACUAGGUGUAGGGGGUAUCGACUCCCUCUGUGCCGCAGUUAACACAAUAAGUAUUCCGCCUGGGGAGUACGGCCGCAAGGUUGAAACUCAAAGGAAUUGACGGG
This 396-nucleotide ribosomal RNA is filed under the name uncultured bacterium. Its description in RNAcentral is "partial 16S ribosomal RNA". It matches the Rfam family "Bacterial small subunit ribosomal RNA", at positions 523 to 917 of the family's 1533-position model. The record is from RNAcentral.